This is a non-coding RNA of Paramuricea clavata, 1041 nucleotides long. Lineage: Eukaryota; Metazoa; Cnidaria; Anthozoa; Malacalcyonacea; Plexauridae. The record is from the annotation of a GenBank genome assembly.
UUUAAUUUGGGUUCACAUUUUUAAUAAUUAAUUUAUUUCCAACUGUAUGGAUAUAUUGUUCAGUUGCUCAAGUUCCGUGUAAUGUAUGCAAACAUUAUAUGUUAAUUAACUCUAUAGUCUGUAGAAACAUUAAAAAGAAAUAUAGUGCAUGUAUUUUACAUGCAACAAUUUUUCCGUCAACAAACGACAACCGGCCCAAAGGCCGUUUUCCACUAGGCUUAAUUUUCCGCGCCGAGUGGAAUUUUUCUUUGUCUUGUGAUUACUCAGGUGGAACUAAUUAGAAGACAUAAAGAGAAAUUCCGCUCCGCGCGGAAAAUUAAGCCUAGUGGAAAGUGGCCUUUAAUCUGUCCGUUAUAAUUUUGCGCCCUGAUCAUCACCACUACAUAAUACUCUAAUGAAGAAGACACGAGCUUACGAAUAGAAAGCUUUUCUAAAUAGUGUUUUCAAAAAAAUAAACCUCCUUAAGUAUGACAAUCGCAUGAGUUCAUUUUAGAAUAUGCACAAUAAGACUGCAGUGCGGGCAAUUCACGGAGAAAAACGGAAACACCACAUCAGCAUCCACAUGAAACACUUUCCGUCGAAAAAUAGACUUCGACCUUCCAGGCGAAACUGCCAAAGAUUUUCUCUCCAUAUCAAGAUUCAAAAAGACAGUGCUAAUCUUUUUCGCCGGUGUGACGCGAAAUUCCUGACUUGCGAAAUAUCUGACUAUUGUAGAACUGCCCAUGCGCAGACGAUGCGCAUGAAUGACUUUGGCUCAUAAAUUUCGCAAUUCAACAGACAACACGUGUAUUUAUAAAGUCAUUUUAUCUAUACAUAAAUUUUCCAACAUCAAUUCUACAAUUGAUCAACUGAAUUGACACUAUACCACUGACUGUGAACGUUAGCGUUCAGCGAUAAUAAAGCUUGAAUCGCAGAUAUGGAAAAAAUCACUCGAAAAGCGAUCUAUCUUAGUGAUAUAAAAUAGACUCCAGCAGUUUCAAAGGUUAUGCUAUAUGCAUUACUAUACUAUAUUAAAGCACUAAAAAUCGUUUCGCGUUUGAC